UUCAGCCAGUUAUCCAGUCCAGUCAAAAGCCCUGAACCAUCUGAGUCGGAGUUGGUGGAGACUUCAAGCAUUCAAGAGGAAGUUGUGGACCUGAGAGAAAUAAAGAAUGGCCACUCUGAGAUUAAGACCGAGAUUAUCGAUGUGGAACCGGUCGCCAAGAUGGACAACCGCUUCUUUGGUGAGCUUCUUGCCGAGGUUUACCGCAAGAACUCAGAUAUUCACACCUGCAUCUCCGAGCAUGUGGCCAAGAUCCGCGGAAGGAAACACCUCCUGGACCCCACCAUUGACUACAAGGUAGG
Sinocyclocheilus grahami is the source of this 299-nucleotide long non-coding RNA. RefSeq lists it as uncharacterized. NCBI's taxonomy places the organism in Eukaryota, Metazoa, Chordata, Actinopteri, Cypriniformes, Cyprinidae. The record is from RefSeq and is a predicted model, not a curated record. The transcript has 3 exons.